GGGGGUAUAGCUCAGGGGUAGAGCAUUUGAGUGUAGAUCAAGAGGUCCCUGGUUCAAAUCCAGGUACCCCAUACCA
Molecule: transfer RNA, 76 nt
Filed under: Choloepus hoffmanni (Hoffmann's two-fingered sloth)
Lineage: Eukaryota; Metazoa; Chordata; Mammalia; Pilosa; Megalonychidae
Description: tRNA-Tyr (GTA) (tRNA-Tyr-GTA-6-1)
Rfam family: tRNA
About the family: Transfer RNA (tRNA) molecules are approximately 80 nucleotides in length. Their secondary structure includes four short double-helical elements and three loops (D, anti-codon, and T loops).
Source: RNAcentral